UACGUAGGGCGCAGGCGUUGUCCGGAAUUAUUGGGCGUAAAGAGCUCGUAGGCGGCCAGUUGCGUCUGCUGUGAAAUCCCGGGGCUCAACCCCGGGCGUGCAGUGGAUACGGGCUGGCUAGAGGCAGGCAGGGGAGAACGGAAUUCCCGGUGUAGCGGUGAAAUGCGCAGAUAUCGGGAGGAACACCGGUGGCGAAGGCGGUUCUCUGGGCCUGUACUGACGCUGAGACGCGAAAGCGUGGGGAGCAAACAGG
This 253-nucleotide ribosomal RNA is filed under the name uncultured bacterium. RNAcentral describes it as "partial 16S ribosomal RNA". It matches the Rfam family "Bacterial small subunit ribosomal RNA", at positions 524 to 776 of the family's 1533-position model. The record is from RNAcentral.